AUAUUGGACAAUGGGGGCAACCCUGAUCCAGCCAUGCCGCGUGUGUGAAGAAGGUCUUCGGAUUUUAAAGCACUUUAAGUUAGGAGGAAGGGCUUUAGGCUAAUACCCUGAAGUUUUGACGUUACCAACAGAAUAAGCAGCGGCUAACUCUGUGCCAGCAGCCGCGGUAAGACAGAGGGUGCAAGCGUUCAUCGGAAUGACUGGGCGUAAAGCGAGCGUAGGUGGUUCAGUAAGAUGGGUGUGAAGUCCCCGGGCUUAACCUGGGAACUGCUUUCAUAACUGCUGAGCUAGAGUACGGUAGAGGGUAGUGGAAUUUCCUGUGUAGCGGUGAAAUGCGUAAAUAUAGGAAGGAACACCAGUGGCGAAGGCGACUACCUGGACUGAUACUGACACUGAAGUGCGAAAGCGUGGGGAGAAAAC
RNAcentral lists this ribosomal RNA (420 nucleotides) under uncultured bacterium. Its description in RNAcentral is "partial 16S ribosomal RNA". It matches the Rfam family "Bacterial small subunit ribosomal RNA", at positions 361 to 773 of the family's 1533-position model. The record is from RNAcentral.